This 508-nucleotide ribosomal RNA is filed under the name uncultured bacterium. RNAcentral describes it as "bacterial SSU rRNA". It matches the Rfam family "Bacterial small subunit ribosomal RNA", at positions 28 to 527 of the family's 1533-position model. The record is from RNAcentral.
GACGAACGCUGGCGGCGUGGAUUAGGCAUGCAAGUCGAACGGUAUCAUCCUUUCGGGGGUGAGAGAGUGGCGAACUGGUGAGUAACACGUAGGUUAUCUACCCUCAAGACGGGGACAACCCAGGGAAACUUGGGCUAAUACCGGAUGUGAGCAACUUUUAGCUGUUUGAAAGGUGGCGUAAGCUGUCGCUUGGGGAUGAGCCUGCGUCCUAUUAGUUAGUUGGUGAGGUAACGGCUCACCUAGGCAAUGAUAGGUAGGCGGCCUUAACGGGUGGUCGCCCACACUGGGAUUGAGAUACGGCCCAGACUCCUACGGGAGGCAGCAGUCGAGAAUAGUCUACAAUGGUCGGAAGACUGAUAGUGCGACGCCGCGUGAACGAUGAAUCCCUUCGGGGUGUAAAGUUCUUUUAUAUGUGAGCAGUGCUUCUUAUAUUAACAGUAUGGGGAGAGAGAUAUUAGCAUAUGAAUAAGCAACGGCUAACUCCGUGCCAGCAGCCGCGGUAAACUCG